GUCCAACCAAACUUGUUUGGGGAAGGCCUAGUGGCGAACGGGUGCAUAACACGUGAGAAACCUGCCUCAGUCUCUGGGAUAACAGUUGGAAACGACUGCUAAUACCGGAUGCCGUCACACCAUCACAUGUUGGAAUGACGAAAGAUUUAUCGGACUGAGAGGGUCUCGCGGCCUAUCAGCUAGUUGGAGAGGUAACGGCUCACCAAGGCAUCGACGGGUAGCUGGUCUGAGAGGAUGAUCAGCCACACUGGGACUGAGACACGGCCCAGACUCCUACGGGAGGCAGCAGUGGGGAAUCUUGCACAAUGGGCGAAAGCCUGAUGCAGCAACGCCGCGUGCGGGAAGAAGGCCCUAGGG
Molecule: ribosomal RNA, 357 nt
Filed under: uncultured bacterium
Lineage: Bacteria
Description: bacterial SSU rRNA
Rfam family: Bacterial small subunit ribosomal RNA
Source: RNAcentral